Molecule: long non-coding RNA, 662 nt
Organism: Oncorhynchus gorbuscha (pink salmon)
Lineage: Eukaryota; Metazoa; Chordata; Actinopteri; Salmoniformes; Salmonidae
Exons: 3
Source: RefSeq, a predicted model, not a curated record
UGAGCAAUGGAGAGUUGGCCCACAUCAGCCCAAAGGUUGUGGUGCUGUGGGUGGGAACCCAUAAUCACGGUCACACUGCAGAACAGAUCUGUGGAGGCAUUAUGGCCAUAGUCCAAAUCAUCAAGGAUAAGCUGCCGAAGGCUUACACUCUCGUACUGGGGUUGCUGAACUGAUGUACACAGUUCAGGUGUCAGUGCCACGACAGUGGAGGACCCAGGGAGAAUUGGAGACCAGAUCAACCCCCCCAUAGACACCAUGACAGACUGUGUGACUGUAAGGGUGCGUUAUUAGGAAGUCAUUGCUAUUUGUCCAGUAAGUGGAUACAAUCCUAGCCUGCUUGUCAGUCUGUUUCUGACAGCCCAUGAUAGUAAUAUUUUGGGAUGUCAAUUAGUUUGCAGAAACUGAAUGGCACUCAGACUAAUACAGCAGUUUACUUUGUGUCACUUCGGGAGGAGGAGAGAGGGUUUGAGUGGAGGCUGCCUCUGCCAGGAGUCUGCCAAAUCCUACCACAAGCCCAGGAAGGCCUGUAAGUAGUCCUGUGUUUCUGUAACACUAACAGCAGUACAUUGAAGAGUUUCUACAAUGCCUGUUACAGUGGAAUCUCUCAAAGUCACCAAUCUGUGUAUCUCUCUCCCAUCCUAUUCUCUCCGACCUAUACACAA